GCGCACCAGUCGAGAAAACUUCACACUGUGCGAAAGCACGAUGAGGGAAUCCCAAGUGCUUGCACGUAAGUGUAAGCUGUUUCUCUGUCUAAAACGCAGAGAGAGUAAGGGCUGGGUAAGACGGGUGCCAGCCGCCGCGGUAAUACCUGCAGCUCAAGUGGUGACCGUUAUUAUUGGGCCUAAAACGUCCGUAGCCGGUUUAAUAAAUGCCUGGGUAAAUUGUGUAGCUUAACUAUACGAAUUCCGGGUAGACUGUUAAACUUGAGACCGGGAGAAGUUGGAGGUACUCCUGGGGUAGAGGUGAAAUUCUGUAAUCCUAGGGGGACCACCAGUGGCGAAGGCGUCUAACUAGAACGGGUCUGACGGUGAGGGACGAAGCCCUGGGGCACGAAACGGGAUUAGAUACCCGGGUAGU
RNAcentral lists this ribosomal RNA (415 nucleotides) under uncultured microorganism. Its description in RNAcentral is "bacterial SSU rRNA". It matches the Rfam family "Archaeal small subunit ribosomal RNA", at positions 330 to 745 of the family's 1478-position model. The record is from RNAcentral.